GGGUAACCAUGACAUAUUGCUAGGUGUCACUCAUGGUUUGUGGAAGCCCUAAACGUGUAUAAACACUAAAGGGAGAAUUGAAAGUAAGUUUCAAUUCACAAUCGAUUUGAAAGAGUUCUAAUUGCCCACUGCCUCGCUAAAAGGAACCUAAUGGAUCGUACACCGUGUAAGGUAGAGAUUGAAGAAACAACGGAGAUGAGUAAGAAUAAUUAAAUGGUUUAAUUAUUUAUGGCAAGGAUUAAUUACUAUGUUAAUUAAUCAAACGAAUAAGUUCGUUAAAGACCACGGGAUAGUAUUGGACCUUAAGGCCCAAUGGGCUUUGAACGUCAAGUCCAUUGACUUAAGUUGUAUGAAAACUUAAUGAAUAAUAAUUCACAAAGGCCCAAAUAGCAAAAUAAUACCCUAAGGCCGGCCAUUUAGAGGAAGGGUAGUGAACUUGCUUUAAUUACAAGUUUGCCACUCCAAUGAAUAAAGGUAUAAAUAUGACUUUAUAGCCAAAAUUCAUUUAGGGGUUUCUUUUAGAGAAUUGGAGAGAACAUAUCUCUCUCUUUUCUCUCUAAGAGG
RNAcentral lists this long non-coding RNA (564 nucleotides) under Malus domestica (apple). RNAcentral describes it as "long non-coding RNA (MDOM_LNC019342)". The record is from RNAcentral. Lineage: Eukaryota; Viridiplantae; Streptophyta; Magnoliopsida; Rosales; Rosaceae.